AGAACGCUCUGCUGGAAAGACCUGGGCAGAAAUGAAGAGAACCACCUGCAGAGAUGAAGAGCCUGAUGGGAACCAUGCCACGCUUUCGUCUUAAAGAAAGAAGGUGCAUCAGUUAGGAUUGAGAGUUCUUUGUUGUUUCAGAUUGUAGAAAGCUAUCAAAGUGGUCUGUGGAAACUUUGCUUGUUUUUUUUUUUUUCUUUGUGUAACGAUUUACUUGGGGAUAUAUAUAAUCAUAAGCAUGAUACUAUUAGAUACCGCUAUAAGUAAACAUGUGCACCUCCUUGUGAUUCUUUCCUCUAUAAUUGCUACCCCUAAAGAUUUCAGAUAAACUUGAAGGGAACUGCAGGGAGAUCAACCUUUUGGGGGCUGUUGGACACGGAUAGAAAUUAGUGGGAGAAAGUUCAGGGAUGAUUGGAUAAAAAUAACUAUAGAUGGUAAAGAUUCAUGGAAGUUACAGAAAAGUGAUGAAUAAGAACCGUUGGUUAUGCCCCUGUCAGUGGCCCUUCUUCUUACCCCUGCCCCUUCCUAACUCCGCACUGCCCACCUGCCCCUGCGCCACCUCCCUACCCUUGCCCAUUUAUUGCUAUUUACUCUGUAUAGAUCCAUAAUAACUAUAAAUAAUAAUAAUUUCUUCUUUCAAUAAUUAUUUCUUGUGCAUUUUGUAUUAGCUACACUCUUUAGGAAAAAAUGAAUAAUAGUGGGUGAAUAGUAGAUAUUCUCGGAGAAGGCAAUGGCACCCCACUCCAGUACUCUUGCCUGGAAAAUCCCAGGGACGGGGGAACCUGGUGGGCUGCCGUCUAUGGGGUCGCACAGAGUCGGACACGACUGAGCGACUUCACUUUCACUUUUCACUUUCAUGCAUUGGAGAAGGAAAUGGCAACCCACUCCAGUGUUCUUGCCUGGAGAAUCCCAAGGAUGGGGGAGCCUGGUGGGCUGCCAUCUAUGGGGUCGCACAGAGUCGGACACGACUGAAGCGACUUAGCAGCAGCAGCAGCCUAACUUCUAUAUCCCAAGAUCACUAACCCUUUCUUGCAUAUUGUUAUAUUUGC
This 1049-nucleotide long non-coding RNA is filed under the name Bos indicus x Bos taurus (hybrid cattle). RNAcentral's name for it is "lncRNA (ENSBIXG00000025372.1)". The record is from RNAcentral. Lineage: Eukaryota; Metazoa; Chordata; Mammalia; Artiodactyla; Bovidae.